UCCCUUCAAUGUCUUGGUCUGGUAAGAUUUUUAAUCACCGUUUCCUUCCUUAUGUAUAGACACGUGAUGUUGUUAAGAACAUUCAUUCAAAAUAGGUUUAGACCAUUGUCAUGUUUGAGGAACUUCGUUGGAGCUAAAAAAAACUGGUUGCUGGCGGUUUGCAGGCGUGAGCCACACAUCAGGUACAUUCAGUAGGCUACUGAAUCUAUUUACUUCAUGCUAGAUAGGAACGAAAUAAUAUGUCUUCUCAAAUUAGAAGAGGAAAGCAAGUUGAGUACGAUUUCUUCUAAAAAUUGUAUGCUAUAUACAACAUCAAGGUGAGUGCUUUUGUAAAGUUGUUGGUUCUGGCAUUCAGUUCAGAGGACAUUCCCCAUGUCAGUACUUUUGGAAUGUAUGCCUUCUAUAUUCCACCUGGUCUUAAAAAAUUGAUGAAAGGAUUUGCCUAUGAAGGAAUACAAAAUCCCGCGGAGGAACAUGCCGUUUUCAGUUCCAUGAGCUUACACUUCUCCAACAUAUCUCGUAGGAAAUUUGCAACUACUGCUCUAAGUUUCUUUUCCAAGGGAACUUAACUGAACCAUUUGAAUAUGCUUCUCAUAUUGAACAUUAUGAUGAUUAUAUAUCAGUGCGCCUACAGUUAAUUUGUAGCCAUCCUUUUUUCAUGACCACAA
Molecule: long non-coding RNA, 668 nt
Organism: Lolium rigidum
Lineage: Eukaryota; Viridiplantae; Streptophyta; Magnoliopsida; Poales; Poaceae
Exons: 3
Source: RefSeq, a predicted model, not a curated record